This 433-nucleotide ribosomal RNA is filed under the name uncultured bacterium. Its description in RNAcentral is "partial 16S ribosomal RNA". It matches the Rfam family "Bacterial small subunit ribosomal RNA", at positions 29 to 507 of the family's 1533-position model. The record is from RNAcentral.
AACGAACGCUGGCGGCAUGCCUAACACAUGCAAGUCGAACGAGACCUUUGGGUCUAGUGGCGCACGGGUGCGUAACGCGUGGGAAUCUGCCCUUGGGUUCGGAAUAACAGAGAGAAAUUGCUGCUAAUACCGGAUGAUGUCUUCGGACCAAAGAUUUAUCGCCCAGGGAUGAGCCUGCGUAGGAAUAGCUAGUUGGCGGGGUAAUGGCCUACCAAGGCGACGAUCCGUAGCUGGUCUGAGAGGAUGAUCAGCCACACUGGGACUGAGACACGGCCCAGACUCCUACGGGAGGCAGCAGUGGGGAAGAUUGGACAAUGGGCGCAAGCCUGAGCCAGCAAUGCCGCGGGAGUGAUGAAGGCCUUAUGGUUGUAAAGCUCUUUUACCAGGGAGGAUAAUGACAGUACCUGGAGAAUAAGCUCCGGCUAACUCCGUG